CAGGUCUGGGAAGGUCGUUAACAUUCCGUUAAUUAGCCUCACUACACUUUUUAGGUAAUUGUAUUAUCCACAUUUUGCAGAUGAAGACGCUAAAGCAUCCAGAGGUUAAGUGACUUGUUCCAGGUCACACACAGUGAAUUGGGAAUAAAAAGGUCUCAGUCACCUACUUCUCUGCUCUAACCGUUAACCAGCACUCCUUCCCAUCAACAGCGUGGGCUCCGGAAGGGCUGCCUUGUCAGAAUACACUGAACAACAACUGGCUAUUCACGCAUAGAAAGGUGUUCCGUAAGUGUCCCAUCAAUGUACUGGCUCUAUGCUGGAAUGUGAGAUUUGAUGGGCUCAAAUACAGAGAAAUUUUGUUUCAAGGAAUCAAGCAUCUCGUGCAAAGCUUUCAAAAUGUAAGCUCCUGUUGGCUUCUUGAUCUUCUGUGGAAAUCCCAACUCGUCUGCCAGUUUUGGUUUAUGAAAAGUUGACCCUUAAGGCAUAACUAUUUUAAAAAAGAUAUGCCAAAAUGUUACAAGAUAUAGUAGAUUUCACCCAGUUUGAUAUCCCUUCUGGAAUACGCACUUAAUAAAAAUUGCAUUUUUACUAAGUAAUUGGCCA
RNAcentral lists this long non-coding RNA (603 nucleotides) under Gopherus agassizii (Agassiz's desert tortoise). RNAcentral describes it as "lncRNA (ENSGAGG00000013041.1)". The record is from RNAcentral. Lineage: Eukaryota; Metazoa; Chordata; Testudines; Testudinidae.